UGAGUAGGGCAUUGGAUUACU
Molecule: non-coding RNA, 21 nt
Filed under: Caenorhabditis elegans
Lineage: Eukaryota; Metazoa; Nematoda; Chromadorea; Rhabditida; Rhabditidae
Source: RNAcentral